RNAcentral lists this unclassified non-coding RNA (200 nucleotides) under soil metagenome. Its description in RNAcentral is "partial contains internal transcribed spacer 2 and large subunit ribosomal RNA". The record is from RNAcentral.
GCCCUCAAGCACGGCUUGUGUGUUGGGCUCCGUCCCCCGAUCCCGGGGGACGGGCCCGAAAGGCAGCGGCGGCACCGCGUCCGGUCCUCGAGCGUAUGGGGCUUUGUCACCCGCUCUGUAGGCCCGGCCGGCGCUUGCCGAUCAACCAAAUUUUUAUCCAGGUUGACCUCGGAUCAGGUAGGGAUACCCGCUGAACUUAA